This is a long non-coding RNA of Oryza sativa Japonica Group (Japanese rice), 1472 nucleotides long. RefSeq lists it as uncharacterized. The record is from RefSeq and is a predicted model, not a curated record. NCBI's taxonomy places the organism in Eukaryota, Viridiplantae, Streptophyta, Magnoliopsida, Poales, Poaceae.
CUCGCCCCGUUGCUGACGAGCCCGCCGCCCCUGCUGCGUGCUUCGCCGCCGUCGCCGACGGUCGGUGCUCCACCCUCCGUUGCGGCUGCCAUCGAAGAAACGGCGGUGGUGACGGAGCCGGCGCCAAGGAAGGCAGUGGUUGCGUCGAGAAGAGGAGGACCGUACGUCGCCAGGCGGCUCCGGCUUUCUCUAGAGGAGUAGAGUUGCAGAGUGACGUGGAAGCCGGUGGCACACAGGAGCUAGCCGACGAGCUUGACACCGAGCAGCUUGGGCUGGAGAGCAAGAUUAUGGCCAUCAGGAACUUCUUGGAAGGACCCCGACCAUGUCCUCCGUGAUCCCAUUUUUACUUUCUCGCAGAAUAUGCUCCAAAUAUGCAACUUUCUUGACAUGAACUGUGCAUGUUUUUUGUGUUUUGUCUCAGCCCAACCGCCCCAACGACGUGCUGGUGAAAUAGUGAGCUUACUGCAAAACCGGCUAAACAUGAACAUCACCUUCAAGGAGCUGCAGGACGGUCCUGCUGCGGCUCAACCUCCACUGGGGCCACAUGCUUUGACUGGCCAUCAUCAGCAGGGUCAUCCAGCCUCCUCCGCCGGCGAGGGCGACCAGCCUGUACUGCAGGCUUGGACCGCCGUAGGGGACUGCGGGCGCCAUGGAGGGGCCGUGCUGUCCCUGUGACCAAUGGACGAUGACAGUUGCGGCUGCCGCGAGUCCACGCCGACUGCGAGGCGGUUAAUGUCGAUGACAUGUUCAGCCUGCGUAGGGAUAGCCAGAUCGGCAAGGAUCAGUUUCAUGGCAGGGGUGCAUGGAUUCACAUGUUUGGAAUGAGAUCAUGAAAGGAUAGAUGGCAUCCCAAGGAACUGAAGAAAAACAAAAAACUGUAGGAUCAGCAAUAGCAGUUAGAGAGGCUUUCUGGUUUUUUGAAAGGGUAUUUUAGAAGUUUACUCAAGCUGAGGUUUUGGAUACAGUACUAAUGAAUACAUAAUGAAUUGAUCUACCCCUCCACUCAAAGCCUCAAAUCAUGUCGCUCCAUACAAGUCGAAUGGCCUUGACAAGGCAUCAGAGAUAUCGGUUUGUUCGGAUUCUGCUGAUCAAAGUUUUAGAGUCGAGGUCUAAUAUGGUUGAUCACAGGGCCAAUCUUGUGCAGCAGUUUCAUGGAUGCAGAGCUAUUGGAAUUUGCAAACUAAAACAUGGACCCCAAUGAACGUCACGACUUUAAAAGCUCCACGGUACCGACUGUGACAUAUUAUACCCACAGAUGACGAUGAAAUUUGGUGGAGCUUUUGGUGAAGAAAAAGCAAUUGGAGGACGAGAAGCAGGGAAUAAUUCCAUCGAAUGUUUGAAGCAUUUGUUUUGGUUUUCUGUUUUCAGAUUUCUUGCAAGCAAAUUUAACCAUAGCAUCACAAAUGCCUAGCCCUUCGAUGGAAAUUUAGAUGUUUUAGUAGUUUAAAGUGCAGCUAUACCUUUUCAUUGUA